RNAcentral lists this ribosomal RNA (253 nucleotides) under uncultured bacterium. Its description in RNAcentral is "partial 16S ribosomal RNA". It matches the Rfam family "Bacterial small subunit ribosomal RNA", at positions 524 to 776 of the family's 1533-position model. The record is from RNAcentral.
UACGUAGGGUGCAAGCGUUGUCCGGAAUUAUUGGGCGUAAAGAGCUCGUAGGCGGUUUGUCGCGUCUGCUGUGAAAACUCGGGGCUUAACCCCGGGCCUGCAGUGGGUACGGGCAGACUAGAGUGCGGUAGGGGAGACUGGAAUUCCUGGUGUAGCGGUGAAAUGCGUAGAGAUCAGGAAGAACACCCGUGGCGAAGGCGGCCCACUGGGCCGGUACUGACGCUGAGGCGCGAAGGCGUGGGGAGCGAACGGG